AUUGAACGCUGGCGGCAGGCCUAACACAUGCAAGUCGAACGGUAACAGGGAUCAGCUUGCUGAUUCGCUGACGAGUGGCGGACGGGUGAGUAAUGUCUGGGAAACUGCCUGAUGGAGGGGGAUAACUACUGGAAACGGUAGCUAAUACCGCAUAACGUCGCAAGACCAAAGAGGGGGACCUUCGGGCCUCUUGCCUUCGGCUGUGCCCAGAUGGGAUUAGCUAGUAGGUGGGGUAACGGCUCACCUAGUCGACGAUCCCUAGCUGAUCUGAGAGGAUGACCAGCCACACUGGAACUGAGACACGGUCCAGACUCCUACGGGAGGCAGCAGUGGGGAAUAUUGCACAAUGGGCGCAAGCCUGAUGCAGCCAUGCCGCGUGUAUGAAGAAGGCCUUCGGGUUGUAAAGUACUUUCAGCGGGGAGGAAGGGAGUAAAGUUAAUACCUUUGCGCAUUGACGUUACCCGCAGAAGAAGCACCGGCUAACUCCGUG
This 490-nucleotide ribosomal RNA is filed under the name uncultured bacterium. RNAcentral describes it as "partial 16S ribosomal RNA". It matches the Rfam family "Bacterial small subunit ribosomal RNA", at positions 30 to 507 of the family's 1533-position model. The record is from RNAcentral.